UUAUAGAAAUUAUGUAUCUCGCCAAGCGCUCCGUUAUUAAACGAAUUAUUCUUAAUUCAAAACUUUCAUAAUCGUCUAAGCUUAGAGUAGAAAUAAAAUGAUGUAUUUAAGAAUUAUGAUACACAUCCGGAGAACCGGAUGCGUCGCUCUUAUGAGCUUCAGGAAACCACUGCAGAAUUGGAGGUUCCUUUUCUUCGCUGUGAGAUCUUGAAUGAGAUUUCAAAACCAGAAUGAACAAAGAAACACGGGGACCAGACAUAAAAUGUAAUUGUCAAGAGUGGCAUUGGAGAGUGUCAGAAUGCGCUAAUCGUCUAGCAAGCAGGAUCAACUUUCACAUAUUGUAACAACUUCAUGAAGUUCUCAACAAGCAGGAAGCGUUAUUAUCCCAAGUGACAAGUGGUUUUAUUUUAAGCUAGAAUUUUUUCUAAAAGAACGUGAUACUACUAGAAAAAUGUUACGCGUUACUUACGUUUUACUUCAGUUUGAAAGUUAUAAGGAAUCAAGAAAGCAUUGGAAACGCUCUCUUCAAAGGAACAGGCAAUCAGUUUAUCGACAGAUGUCAAGCGGUUAAAAGUCAGGCGAGGGAUUACAAUGUCUUUUAUAGUUUCAUAGCAUAGAGGAUCAAUGAAGUUUAUGCUUUGUCAGUGUAUAGAGUAACGUUAAGUGAAAAGAAGUUCAACUAUGCUUUUGACUUGGAGAACUUUGGCGCACGACAUACAUCAAUCAACGAAAACCAUUAAUCAUCCAUACUGUGAUACCAGUGAAACCAUGGAUAGUGGAAUCGAGAGGAAACGCGCGUCACGUAUCUCCGAGGUCAUCAGGUUCAAACGGCUACCCUCUUCCCAUGUGACUCGGUCUUCUCUUUCCUGGUUCUUGGUCACGAGACGAUUUCCACGAUGGGAAAGUCACGGUCAUGUAACGCGGGGACAUCCUUUACCGCAUCCAAAGAGAAACAGAUGCACGAGCUGGCGGUUUUCGAUGAGCAAAACGAACCGAGCCUGCACACGCACGCUUCCGCUGUAACGAACGAGUAGAGAGUAGAGGAUGCAGAGGAGACGAAACUACCAGGUCGAGAGUGAAACUUAACUGUUCGAUGCGCCAACGUGAUUGCACCCAAUUAAGAAACUCCUUGAAUCAACAGUUUUCGAACCGGUGUAUCAAGUUCCGUGAGAGAGGUUCAAGAGGCUUCCGCGAAAAUAUUCUUAAACUAAUUAACGAAAAAUGAAGACUCAAGUUCUCAGAAUGGCUAUUUAACUCGUUCACUGAAGAGCGAAGGCUGUGAACAUCUGUUGAGAAAUAGGUAAAUUGAAAUGAUGCAAGCAACUUGAGGACUGGAAAAUCACGGCUGUUCUGAAGCUCUCUGUGUAGCUGUAGCCAAGAUAUACUACGCAUCAGGAGUUUCACUCUUCAGCGAAGCCUGACGAUAGGAGCUUCUCUUCAAGCUUGUUCGACGGUCAUUAUACGAUAAUUGCAUUUAGCUUGGCUAACCAAGGUGCUGCUUCCACCUGUAGGUGGACGUUCGAAAGCGAUUUUCCUUAUCCGACGAGGGAAGCCUGGCGAAUCGAUGUUUGACGCGUGAGAUCACGGCGAAGAAAGUAGAGGAACGAUGCUCGCUCGUUAUUAAGGUCGAAGUAACGAGGAAGACUGACUGCACUCGUCUUCGUGACCAACUUCUACUGUAUUCUUGUGCAGUUGGUUUUUCUUAGACUUACACUAGUAUAAAUAGAGAAGAAAAUGAAUAGAUGGAAAAUAGAUGAUACUAUAUUUCUUCAAUAGUAUCAAUUAUCUUGUAGAUCGUAGAUCCUUUGUUCAUUUGAUCAGUAUAGUUAGGAAUAGAAACUGCUUAAUCGUACAGUAUUCAAGAACCAAUUCGAAUUAAUCGAUUCACCGAGGGCAAACACUUUUCCGAAUGAACCGCGUUUAAAAUUAAUACCACACUUUUUCUCUCGGCGAAACUUUCUUCUCAUCACGCCAAUCUCCCAUCGUUGAUUCACGAAGCAUUAUUAUUUACUGUGAACAUCAGAUGUUUGGUUCGUUAGGGCUGUCGUGAAAGGUUCCAUCAAUUGAUCACGUAUAAAGUUGCAUGGACGAUUGACGGGUUGUGCUACUUCCGGUGUGUCGUGCAGGAGAACGGAGAAAGUAAAGGUCGUGGACGAGGUGAAUCGCGACCCCGAAGAUCCACGGAUGUGCUGGUUCCCUUGAAUCUCAUCUUAUCCUUAGAAAGCAUCUUCCUUCUUCCUUCUUCCUUCUUUCUUCUUGUUACCUCUCAGGCUCUCUUCGUUUCACGAUGCUUAUGUUAGAAAACCACGCUUUCAUCUAGCGCGAGAAAAUUAAUGUCUACUCGAGGAUUGUGUAAGUACUUACUUGUCUCUGAAUGGAGUGUGACGGUGGGAAUUGAAAGGGAUAUCUUUGCACUUUUAUUUGGGUUACCUCCCAGUGGGUUGGGUUCAGGAAGGAACUAACAUCUCCUCAAGAAACAGUUCAACGAAGAACUUAAAUUGAAUGAAGGUACGGAUAAAAAAAGGUGUAUUUUAUUGUCGUAACAUACACAAAGAUUGUACAAAAAUAUCUGUAUGUAUAUACCUGUCUAAACAAUUGUUAUUUACAAGUAAAAAAAAUGAUUACAUA
This is a long non-coding RNA of Osmia bicornis bicornis, 2628 nucleotides long. RefSeq lists it as uncharacterized. The record is from RefSeq and is a predicted model, not a curated record. Lineage: Eukaryota; Metazoa; Arthropoda; Insecta; Hymenoptera; Megachilidae. The transcript has 5 exons.